This 253-nucleotide ribosomal RNA is filed under the name uncultured bacterium. Its description in RNAcentral is "partial 16S ribosomal RNA". It matches the Rfam family "Bacterial small subunit ribosomal RNA", at positions 524 to 776 of the family's 1533-position model. The record is from RNAcentral.
UACGAAGGGGGCUAGCGUUGUUCGGAGUUACUGGGCGUAAAGGGCGCGUAGGCGGCUUGCACAGUCAGGCGUGAAAUUCCUGGGCUCAACCUGGGGACUGCGCUUGAGACGUGUGGGCUUGAGUGGGGAAGAGGGUCGUGGAAUUCCCAGUGUAGAGGUGAAAUUCGUAGAUAUUGGGAAGAACACCGGUGGCGAAGGCGGCGACCUGGUCCUUGACUGACGCUGAGGCGCGAAAGCGUGGGGAGCAAACAGG